This 301-nucleotide ribosomal RNA is filed under the name uncultured bacterium. RNAcentral's name for it is "partial 16S ribosomal RNA". It matches the Rfam family "Bacterial small subunit ribosomal RNA", at positions 510 to 808 of the family's 1533-position model. The record is from RNAcentral.
CGUAGCCGCGGGAAAACGGAGGGAGCUAGCGUUGUUCGGAAUUACUGGGCGUAAAGCGCGCGUAGGCGGUUACUCAAGUCAGAGGUGAAAGCCCGGGGCUCAACCCCGGAACUGCCUUUGAAACUAGGUGACUAGAAUCUUGGAGAGGUCAGUGGAAUUCCGAGUGUAGAGGUGAAAUUCGUAGAUAUUCGGAAGAACACCAGUGGCGAAGGCGACUGACUGGACAAGUAUUGACGCUGAGGUGCGAAAGCGUGGGGAGCAAACAGGAUUAGAGACCCCGGUAGUCCCUGUCUCUUAUACA